Molecule: RNA transcript, 1851 nt
Organism: Cucumis melo (muskmelon)
Lineage: Eukaryota; Viridiplantae; Streptophyta; Magnoliopsida; Cucurbitales; Cucurbitaceae
Exons: 7
Source: RefSeq, a predicted model, not a curated record
UCUUUUAGGCGCGAGAGAGAAAACAGAGAAUAAAGAAUUUGGGCAGGGCCCCAUCAGACGCUCUGUCCAAUCUGUCAUUUCCGCCGCCGGCUCUCCUCUGUUUCAACCCUUCCUUCUUUACACUUCAUCUUCUCUGUUCUCUGGAUUCCAUCUCAUUUUCAUACUGAUUAUGGCCGAAUCCAAAUCGAACCCUUCGCCAUCCUCUCUUUCUCCCGAAAUGUUACAGAUUGAUGGAUCGCCUCGUGAUACCAAGGAGACUCAUGGAAGGCGUAAUGACAUUGACGAGAACACCCCGUUGGAUGAAGUCAAGGCGCCAAACGUGUUUGAGAGAAUGAAAGAGGAGAUUGAGGCGCUUGUCCAAACGAUCCAAGCAAAGGAUGACUCUGUGGCAGCAGAGUCCAAAGAGGAUAAAACAGACUCUCAAUCAGAUGGUUCAGUCAUAGCAGCAAAAGUGUUUGGAAGAGCAAAGGAUGAGAUUGGGAAGAUGUUGCACAUUAAUAAAACGAAGGAAACUCAUGGCCAGCGUGAUGACAUAGGAGAGGAUACCCCUUUAAAUGAAGUCAAAGCUCCUAAUUUAUUAGAGCGUGCAGUGGAAGAAUAUGAGGCUUUUAUGCAGACCAUUAAUUCUAAGAAAGAAUCUCAGACAUCCGACAAAAGGGAUGAAAAUGUUGCAUCAAUGCAGAAAGAAGCAAUGCCUCUCUCAGAAAUUAGUUCAAAUUUGAUAAUUCCAAUCAAUGAAGUGAUGGGGCCAAAUAUUUUUGAGAGAGCCAAAGAUGAAAUGGAGGCACUUGUUCAUACCAUCCAUCCUAAGAAGGAAACUGAUUCACUAGCCAAAGAAGGAUUUCUUACAAAACUCGGAAAAUGUUUGGAAAUAAUAUGCUCUCCGUCGAAAGAGAAGGAUAAUUGAAAGAGAAGGAUAAAUAAAGCCAAAGUUCUGCACAAGUCGGUAUAUUGCCUCAUUUCUACAAGAAGAAUUUCACUAUCAAUUUUUGAUGUGCAGAGCCAAUUUAAAGAAACGAAAAACGGAGAUUGAAACACACCUGAAGAAUGCUAAGUACAAGAACAAAGAUACCGAUGCCUCUAUGAGUUGGUACAUUGGCAUUAAUUUUAUUGUAAAGUUGUCUUCCAAGUACAACAGUAGUAAGUCCAAUGGCAAACCCCACAAACUGAAUUGCUGAAUGCAGAUAGUACCAAAGAGGAUCCUUAUGUUUGAAGUAUCUAGGAAUAAUUGCCCCAACUGGAAGGAUGAGACCCCAUCCAAUUAUUCCCAUUACACCGUGGUUCUUCUUUGUUUGACCAAUCUCACUGCCUGCUGCUGCUGCUGAAGACUUAGAGCCUGUGUCAAAGAGCAAUACAAGAAAAUCUUAAGGGUAUUAAAGCAAAUAGUUAACAAAGAAAAUUGAUGUCGACAGCAAAAGAAACCUGCAGAGAAGUCAAAAACAACAGCAGUUUUAUCACUGUGAGUAGACAAGUGAUGAUGUCUAGGAUAAGCAUUCCCAAAAGCCAAGAGAAUUGGUUGCUGAGAAACCGUAGCACUGAAUUUGAGUUGAAAGGCCAAGUAAAUGGUGGCACCAUGCAAUACAACUGAGGAAGGAACAUUAGUGAGUGGCAAUUCUCCUUUGUCUUGAAUUACUUCUGAUUGCUUUCUUCCUUGCAAGUAAUAUUGAUGGAUUCUUGCAUGCCCUUUCUUGUUAACCCAUCCCACCAUUGCACUUGAUCCCACCAUCAUCCCAUCUCUUGAAAACCCAAUCCCCACCCACCCUGUUGUGUAUAAAGCUGAUACAAUGAUGUUCAUUACAUUCUCUUCAUUUUGUGUAUACUGCAUAAUCCAACACAAAAAUCCUUCAAGUA